UGCCUAACACAUGCAAGUCGAACGGCAGCACGGUAUGUAGUAAUACAUAUGGGUGGCGAGUGGCGGACGGGUGAGUAAUGCAUAGGGAUCUGCCUAUAAGAGGGGGAUAACUGAGGGAAACUUCAGCUAAUACCACAUAAAGUCUACGGACCAAAGGCAGGGGACUCUGAAAGGGGCCUUGCGCUGAUAGAGGAACCUAUGUCGGAUUAGCUAGUUGGUGGGGUAAAGGCCUACCAAGGCGAAGAUCCGUAGCUGGUCUGAGAGGACGGCCAGCCACACUGGGACUGAGACACGGCCCAGACUCCUACGGGAGGCAGCAGUGGGGAAUAUUGGACAAUGGGGGGAACCCUGAUCCAGCAAUGCCGCGUGAGUGAAGAAGGCCUUCGGGUUGUAAAGCUC
Molecule: ribosomal RNA, 399 nt
Filed under: uncultured organism
Description: bacterial SSU rRNA
Rfam family: Bacterial small subunit ribosomal RNA
Source: RNAcentral